This 1491-nucleotide ribosomal RNA is filed under the name uncultured organism. RNAcentral describes it as "SSU rRNA". It matches the Rfam family "Bacterial small subunit ribosomal RNA". The record is from RNAcentral.
GGCUCAGGAUGAACGCUGGCGGCGUGCCUAAUACAUGCAAGUCGAACGAGUUCUGAUUAUUGAAAGGUGCUUGCAUCUUGAUUUAAUUUUGAACGAGUGGCGGACGGGUGAGUAACACGUGGGUAACCUGCCCUUAAGUGGGGGAUAACAUUUGGAAACAGAUGCUAAUACCGCAUAAAUCCAAGAACCGCAUGGUUCUUGGCUGAAAGAUGGCGUAAGCUAUCGCUUUUGGAUGGACCCGUGGCGUAUUAGCUAGUUGGUGAGGUAACGGCUCACCAAGGCAAUGAUACGUAGCCGAACUGAGAGGUUGAUCGGCCACAUUGGGACUGAGACACGGCCCAAACUCCUACGGGAGGCAGCAGUAGGGAAUCUUCCACAAUGGACGCAAGUCCGAUGGAGCAACGCCGCGUGAGUGAAGAAGGCUUUCGGGUCGUAAAACUCUGUUGUUGGAGAAGAAUGGUCGGCAGAGUAACUGUUGUCGGCGUGACGGUAUCCAACCAGAAAGCCACGGCUAACUACGUGCCAGCAGCCGCGGUAAUACGUAGGUGGCAAGCGUUAUCCGGAUUUAUUGGGCGUAAAGCGAGCGCAGGCGGUUUUUUAAGUCUGAUGUGAAAGCCCUCGGCUUAACCGAGGAAGUGCAUUGGAAACUGGGAAACUUGAGUGCAGAAGAGGACAGUGGAACUCCAUGUGUAGCGGUGAAAUGCGUAGAUAUAUGGAAGAACACCAGCGGCGAAGGCGGCUGUCUGGUCUGUAACUGACGCUGAGGCUCGAAAGCAUGGGUAGCGAACAGGAUUAGAUACCCUGGUAGUCCAUGCCGUAAACGAUGAAUGCUAGGUGUUGGAGGGUUUCCGCCCUUCAGUGCCGCAGCUAACGCAUUAAGCAUUCCGCCUGGGGAGUACGACCGCAAGGUUGAAACUCAAAGGAAUUGACGGGGGCCCGCACAAGCGGUGGAGCAUGUGGUUUAAUUCGAAGCAACGCGAAGAACCUUACCAGGUCUUGACAUCUUUUGAUCACCUGAGAGAUCAGGCUUCCCCUUCGGGGGCAAAAUGACAGGUGGUGCAUGGUUGUCGUCAGCUCGUGUCGUGAGAUGUUGGGUUAAGUCCCGCAACGAGCGCAACCCUUAUGACUAGUUGCCAGCAUUUAGUUGGGCACUCUAGUAAGACUGCCGGUGACAAACCGGAGGAAGGUGGGGAUGACGUCAAAUCAUCAUGCCCCUUAUGACCUGGGCUACACACGUGCUACAAUGGAUGGUACAACGAGUUGCGAGACCGCGAGGUCAAGCUAAUCUCUUAAAGCCAUUCUCAGUUCGGACUGUAGGCUGCAACUCGCCUACACGAAGUCGGAAUCGCUAGUAAUCGCGGAUCAGCACGCCGCGGUGAAUACGUUCCCGGGCCUUGUACACACCGCCCGUCACACCAUGAGAGUUUGUAACACCCGAAGCCGGUGGCGUAACCCUUUUAGGGAGCGAGCCGUCUAAGGUGGGACAAAUGA